UUGCGGUUAAAAAGCUCGUAGUUGGAUUUCUGUUGGAGACCGCCGGUCCGUUCUUUGAACGUGUAUCUGGUUCGACUCCGACAUCUUUGUGGAGUGCGUAGCUGUGCUUGAUUGCAUGGUGCGAAAUUCACAACAUUUACUUUGAGGAAAUUAGAGUGUUCACGGCAGGCAUACGCCUUGUAUAUAUUAGCAUGGAAUAAUACUUUAGGACCUUUAGUUCUAUUUUAUUGGUUUCCUAGAACUGUAGUAAUGUUAAAUAGGGAUAGUUGGGGGCGUUUGUAUUAACGCGUCAGAGGUGGAAUUCUUGGAUUGCGUUACCGACAACCUAAUGCGAAAGCAUUUGCCAAGGAUGUUUUCAUUGAUCAAGAACGAAAGUAUGGGGAUCGAAGAUGAUUAGAUACCGUCGUAGUCUAUACCAUAAACUAUGCCUACUAGAGAUUGGAGGUUGUUUUUUCUACGACUCCUUCAGCAUCUUAUGAGAAAUCAAAGUCUUUGGGUUCCGGGGGGAGUAUGGUCGCAAGGCUGAAACUUAAAGGAAUUGAGG
This 544-nucleotide ribosomal RNA is filed under the name uncultured marine eukaryote. Its description in RNAcentral is "SSU rRNA". It matches the Rfam family "Eukaryotic small subunit ribosomal RNA", at positions 613 to 1158 of the family's 1831-position model. The record is from RNAcentral.